Non-coding RNA from Podarcis lilfordi (Lilford's wall lizard), 73 nucleotides. The record is from the annotation of a GenBank genome assembly. NCBI's taxonomy places the organism in Eukaryota, Metazoa, Chordata, Lepidosauria, Squamata, Lacertidae.
GUCUGGGAAGCUCAGUUGGUAGAGCAUGAGACUCUUAAUCUCAGGGUCAUGGGCUAGAAGCCCACGUUGGGCA